CCCUUGUCCCUUCUGUUCUUGGUGGAACCUGUGUCAUUCCUGGUGCUUUUUUGGCUGUGGGAAAACUGUUGUCUGCCAGGCACUUUCCAAGAGAGAGGAAAUGAAACGGCUGAGGUCUUCUGGGGUUCCGAGCCAGCCAAGCAAUAGCCAAGCCUUGUUAGCUCGUAUGCUAAACGGUAU
This is a non-coding RNA of Camelina sativa (false flax), 180 nucleotides long. NCBI's taxonomy places the organism in Eukaryota, Viridiplantae, Streptophyta, Magnoliopsida, Brassicales, Brassicaceae. The record is from RefSeq and is a predicted model, not a curated record.